RNAcentral lists this ribosomal RNA (497 nucleotides) under uncultured bacterium. RNAcentral describes it as "partial 16S ribosomal RNA". It matches the Rfam family "Bacterial small subunit ribosomal RNA", at positions 28 to 507 of the family's 1533-position model. The record is from RNAcentral.
GAUGAACGCUGGCGGCGUGCCUAAUACAUGCCAGUCGAGCGAACGGACGAGAAGCUUGCUUCUCUGAUGUUAGCGGCGGACGGGUGAGUAACACGUGGAUAACCUACCUAUAAGACUGGGAUAACUUCGGGAAACCGGAGCUAAUACCGGAUAAUAUUUUGAACCGCAUGGUCCAAAAGUGAAAGACGGUCUUGCUGUCACUUAUAGAUGGAUCCGCGCUGCAUUAGCUAGUUGGUAAGGUAACGGCUUACCAAGGCAACGAUGCAUAGCCGACCUGAGAGGGUGAUCGGCCACACUGGAACUGAGACACGGUCCAGACUCCUACGGGAGGCAGCAGUAGGGAAUCUUCCGCAAUGGGCGAAAGCCUGACGGAGCAACGCCGCGUGAGUGAUGAAGGUCUUCGGAUCGUAAAACUCUGUUAUUAGGGAAGAACAUAUGUGUAAGUAACUGUGCACAUCUUGACGGUACCUAAUCAGAAAGCCACGGCUAACUACGUG